Molecule: long non-coding RNA, 915 nt
Organism: Morus notabilis
Lineage: Eukaryota; Viridiplantae; Streptophyta; Magnoliopsida; Rosales; Moraceae
Exons: 3
Source: RefSeq, a predicted model, not a curated record
CAGAAUUUUUCUGAACAAAUUCUAGACGGAGCUGUUCAAACAUCAAGGCUCCACCUUGGCUCGGAGCACCGCCUAUCACCCCUAAACGGACGGACAAACAGAGGUCGUUAACCGUUGUCUUAAGACCUACCUACGGUGUUUUUCUUCGGAUGCGCCACGCCAAUGGUCGAAGUGGCUAUCAUGGGCUGAAUACUGGUAUAAUACUUCUUUCCACACCGCCACUCGAAUGACCCCUUUUCGCACACUCUACGGCUGUGAUCCCCCUCCACUGGUCGUUAUGGGCUAGGGCUAUCUCCGGUGGCCACAGUAGACCAGCAGCUAGCAUAUCGGGAUGCUACCUUGAACUUACUGAAGCAUCAACUACAGCGGGCGCAUCAAAAGAUGAAAGCACAGGCGGAUGGUUCUCACUGGGAUGUUACAUUUGAGGUGAACCUUCGGAUUUUGUGUACCUUAAAGUAGAGCUGAGAAGGUUGUCCUUUCUCAAGGAGACAUUUUGUCUUGGAAGCAAUGUAAAGAAAGACAGUCAAAUUGCCACCCCAGCUUCAAGUUUGAAGAUCCUCAAUCGCGAGAGAGAAAUGUUAAGCAAGCAAGUGCACAAGAAGCAUACGCGAAAGGCUUUUAUGCUCAACACAAAACAGAGAAGUUUGCAGGUAGCUCGGCACCUAUGGACAAACACAAAAGACGUUGAACACUCGAGGGAAUGUGCUGUUCUCACUGCGAAGUUGAUUGGGUUUGUUGAGCCAGGUCAGGUCCCAAAGGAGAUAUUUGGACUCAGCUUCUCACCCCAACCCAUCAACCGGAAACCCUUUGUUUGGAGACAGCAUGUCUUCUCUAUCAUCAAUUUCUAGAGAGAAAGGAAUAUUUUUUUUAUUUCAAGGUCUCUCCUUUUGUUCAACUUCUAUUUCUCAGUUAUUC